This 402-nucleotide unclassified non-coding RNA is filed under the name soil metagenome. RNAcentral describes it as "partial contains 5.8S ribosomal RNA, internal transcribed spacer 2, and large subunit ribosomal RNA". The stretch from base 1 to 121 matches the Rfam family "5.8S ribosomal RNA", at positions 35 to 154 of the family's 154-position model. The record is from RNAcentral.
GAUGAAGAACGCAGCGAAAUGCGAUAAGUAAUGUGAAUUGCAGAAUUCAGUGAAUCAUCGAAUCUUUGAACGCACCUUGCGCCCUUUGGCCAUUCCGAAGGGCAUGCCUGUUUGAGUAUCAUUAACACCUCAACUCUCAUGGCUCGCCAUGAUGAGCUUGGACUUUGGGGGUCUUGCUGGCCUGUGGUCGGCUCCUCUCAAAUGGAUCAGCUUGCCAGUGUUUGGUGGCAUCACAGGUGUGAUAACUAUCUGCGCUUGUGGUUUUCCAUCAGAUAACCUUCAGUGAUGGAGGUUCGCUGGAGCUCAUAAACGUCUCCCCUAAGCGGGGACAGCCCUUUGAAUGUUUGAUCUCAAAUCAGGUAGGACUACCCGCUGAACUUAAGCAUAUCAAUAAGCGGAGGA